RNAcentral lists this ribosomal RNA (301 nucleotides) under uncultured bacterium. RNAcentral describes it as "partial 16S ribosomal RNA". It matches the Rfam family "Bacterial small subunit ribosomal RNA", at positions 509 to 808 of the family's 1533-position model. The record is from RNAcentral.
CAGCCGCCGCGGUAAUACAGAGGGUGCAAGCGUUAAUCGGAAUUACUGGGCGUAAAGCGCGCGUAGGUGGUUUGUUAAGUUGGAUGUGAAAGCCCCGGGCUCAACCUGGGAACUGCAUCCAAAACUGGCAAGCUAGAGUACGGUAGAGGGUGGUGGAAUUUCCUGUGUAGCGGUGAAAUGCGUAGAUAUAGGAAGGAACACCAGUGGCGAAGGCGACCACCUGGACUGAUACUGACACUGAGGUGCGAAAGCGUGGGGAGCAAACAGGAUUAGAUACCCCUGAGUCCCUGUCUCUUAUACA